UGGGGAAUUUUGGACAAUGGGCGCAAGCCUGAUCCAGCCAUGCCGCGUGUCUGAAGAAGGCCUUCGGGUUGUAAAGGACUUUUGUCAGGGAAGAAAAGGCUGUUGCUAAUAUCGACAGCUGAUGACGGUACCUGAAGAAUAAGCACCGGCUAACUACGUGCCAGCAGCCGCGGUAAUACGUAGGGUGCGAGCGUUAAUCGGAAUUACUGGGCGUAAAGCGAGCGCAGACGGUUACUUAAGCAGGAUGUGAAAUCCCCGGGCUCAACCUGGGAACUGCGUUCUGAACUGGGUGACUAGAGUGUGUCAGAGGGAGGUAGAAUUCCACGUGUAGCAGUGAAAUGCGUAGAGAUGUGGAGGAAUACCGAUGGCGAAGGCAGCCUCCUGGGAUAACACUGACGUUCAUGCUCGAAAGCGUGGGUAGCAAACAGGAUUAGAUACCCUGGUAGUCCACGCCCUAAACGAUGUCAAUUAGCUGUUGGGCAACUUGAUUGCUUAGUAGCGUAGCUAACGCGUGNNUUGACCGCCUGGGGAGUACGGUCGCAAGAUU
RNAcentral lists this ribosomal RNA (547 nucleotides) under uncultured bacterium. Its description in RNAcentral is "bacterial SSU rRNA". It matches the Rfam family "Bacterial small subunit ribosomal RNA", at positions 355 to 895 of the family's 1533-position model. The record is from RNAcentral.